UACGUAGGGGGCAAGCGUUGUCCGGAUUCAUUGGGCGUAAAGAGCGUGUAGGCGGCCAGGUAGGUCGGUUGUGAAAACUGGAGGCUCAACCUUCAGACGUCGACCGAAACCAUCUGGCUAGAGUCCGGGAGAGGAGAGUGGAAUUCCUGGUGUAGCGGUGAAAUGCGCAGAUAUCAGGAGGAACACCGAUGGCGAAGGCAGGUCUCUGGGCCACUACUGACGCUGAGAAGCGAAAGCGUGGGGAGCGAACAGG
Molecule: ribosomal RNA, 253 nt
Filed under: uncultured bacterium
Lineage: Bacteria
Description: partial 16S ribosomal RNA
Rfam family: Bacterial small subunit ribosomal RNA
Source: RNAcentral